RNAcentral lists this ribosomal RNA (490 nucleotides) under uncultured bacterium. Its description in RNAcentral is "partial 16S ribosomal RNA". It matches the Rfam family "Bacterial small subunit ribosomal RNA", at positions 30 to 507 of the family's 1533-position model. The record is from RNAcentral.
AUUGAACGCUGGCGGCAGGCCUAACACAUGCGAGUCGAACGGUAACAGGAAGCAGCUUGCUGCUUCGCUGACGAGUGGCGGACGGGUGAGUAAUGUCUGGGAAACUGCCUGAUGGAGGGGGAUAACUACUGGAAACGGUAGCUAAUACCGCAUAACGUCGCAAGACCAAAGAGGGGGACCUUCGGGCCUCUUGCCAUCGGAUGUGCCCAGAUGGGAUUAGCUAGUAGGUGGGGUAACGGCUCACCUAGGCGACGAUCCCUAGCUGGUCUGAGAGGAUGACCAGCCACACUGGAACUGAGACACGGUCCAGACUCCUACGGGAGGCAGCAGUGGGGAAUAUUGCACAAUGGGCGCAAGCCUGAUGCAGCCAUGCCGCGUGUAUGAAGAAGGCCUUCGGGUUGUAAAGUACUUUCAGCGAGGAGGAAGGGAGUAAAGUUAAUACCUUUGCUCAUUGACGUUACCCGCAGAAGAAGCACCGGCUAACUCCGUG